UGCUAUUAUAAUUAAUGCAUAACUUUGAUUUAACAUUAUAUAAGGAAAUAUAUUGUAAUCACGAUGAAAGGAAAGAAGAAUUGUUUCAGGUAAAUUUUCUUUGCAUUAAUUUUUGAUAAUCGAUAAUUAUUUCUCCAUAAAUGUGAAUGAGGGAAAGAGUUUUCCUUCAAAAGAUGUGAACUUGAUUGUAAGAAGGAAAAGGUCUUUAUCAAACUGAAGAAUAUAUCGUUUUCUUACUUUCUUGUUUCCUAAGACCUCGGUAAUCGGACCAUCUCUAGCACACGAAUGUGUCGUAUGGCUACCAUCAUCAACUUACAGUCACCAAAUACUUAAAACAUGGCAAUAUAAAACGGCUAAAGUCAUUUUUAAUACUAAGAUGAAUAUCCAAAAUCUGCUGCUUUCUUAGACUUGGAAUGGGAGCCAACAAACAAUUUUCUUUAUAAACAAAGGGUAUCAAAUUUUGCUAGGAUUUAAGGCCUACCCCCAAGUAAAUUAUGUCCAAUCGUAUUUGCAGAGUUAAAGUCACUUACGCUUCAAAGUAGAUUGGAUUAACCACACUAUAUGAUAAAUUUAUUUUAAAUGGUAGAUGUGGAUAACUUUUACAAUUCCAAUAUAUAUUUAAACAGCUCCUUUGAAGGUGUGUUUGUACAAGGGAUUUUCUUCUAGUUGUGGCCUGUUAUCUUUUUCUUGCAUCGAUAGAUAUUUCCAGUAUCACGCUUUCUAAUCAGGUGAUCUGAAUAUUCUUCUAUAUGGAACACUUUACUGAUAUGAAUAAAUACAUAUUAAGUCCUACCUUUCCAGGUCAUAGAGUUUUUGUCAAACGAUAAGAUUCAAUUACUGAUACUGGUGAUUAUUCAUUCAUAUAUCAGUAAAAAGAAAAUGAACAGUUUUCGUAAAAAAUGUUGAACGACAUGUACUCUCGCAGACCAUUGUUGUACAUAAUGGUGUUAAUUCUUUUAAGUAAGCUGUCUUAUUUUAUUAUAAUAUAUUAUUUUUUUAACUCUGAUAAUGACAUAAGAAUAUCUGUUACUUCUUUGUAUAUAUUCAUUGUAUAUAGUGUUAGACACAUUUGUGGAUACCCCGUUCGCAAGUUUUAAAGUUGUAUAUAAGUGGCAUGUUUUUAUAACACUGCUAUACAUCCUUGACAAAUGACAUGAUUUGUAUUGACUUAAUGCAUGUCUAGCUUGUUUAAUGACACACCUACACUUUUAUACUUAAGUUAUGUAAUCAAUUAGGAAAAAAUAUAUAAAUAUUCUGUGGUAAAUAGUGGUUGACAAACAUCUUAAUUCACAUAUUUUGUUCCUAUAUAAUUAUGUUUAAAACAAAAAAGUGAAAUGAAAAUGAUUAUUUAACUUAAAAACUUGAAAGAACAACGGACUAAAAAAAAUGAGUCCAUGAAACCCGGAAGAAAGCAAUUGAGCUGGUAAAAAAUAAAGAAUAACUCAACUAAUCAUAAAAAAUAACUACAAUAUUUUUAUUUUAUCAGUUGACAUUGUACGUGUAAAUAAAAUAAAACGUUAACAAUAAAUCAAUACCCUUGCUAGGAACGUCGCUAGGCAUAUAUUUUAUGAAGGGUAGAGGGAACCUAUAUUUUAUCGAGUAUAAUUUAGAUUAACGAUAGUAGUUAGAGCCGAUUCCAUCGAGUGUGUAGGCAGUCCUUGGUUAGCUUGCUUGCUAACUGAACCGUGAAGUCAUUAUUAGGUUAGAUAAACUACCCUCCUUUAAGAGUAGACUAGUCCGACAGAUAACCAAUAUAUCUGUCUGUAAGACUAGGCUACUUCGACAGGUGGGUAGUAUACUUUACCUAAUAAUAACUUCACGGUUCAGCUAACAAGCAAGCUAACCAAAGAUAUAACUUUGCCUACACACUCAAUGGAAUCGACUGUAAAUAGCUUGCCGUAAUCAAUUUUAUGAAAUACUUUUUAUACCAUAUAGGUACUCUUGUGAUGCAAUACAAUGCUUUGUACAAGACCGACACACUGAGUUGGAUUUCUAAUGUGCUUGUUCACAAGGCAACAGUACGCAGGAAGACAUAUAAUCUUGCUCGGACACGUUAUUCUGAUUACGGUCUUUUAAAACACUUAAGACGUAAUUGACUAUUAAAUAACUACUAGCCUACCUAUGCAUAUAAAAAAAGAAGAUGUGGUAUAAUUGCCAAUGAGAAAACUCUUCACAAGAGACCAAAGUGACACAGAAAUUAACAACUAUAGGUCACCGUACAUGUCUUUAAAACUGAAAAUAAUUAAAAAUAACUACAGGCCAACCUAUAGUCUAUAGAAUAUAAUUUAGUAAAUAUAAGAUUUUUACCCUAGUACAAUUCAGAUACAUGGGAAAUUUUAGAAGGGACCAUUAAUCUUUUAAAAAAGAAACAUUUAAGGCACAAAGAUACGAGAUUAUUCAGUCUGAUGUCUUUUCAUAAAGUAAACAUAUUUGGCUCAUAUGAUAAACUAUGGCCAUUAACACCUGACUUGGGACAGGCAAAUAGGAAUUUUAACACAAAGAUACGAGAUUAUUCAGUCCGAUGUCAAAUCGUACAGCUUAGACAUACUUUUGCUCAUUCGAUAAAGUAUGCACAUUUGUACAUCUGAACUCUUACGUGUAAUUAGAUGAUCGAUUAAUUGACAUUCUUUUCCAUAUAUAAUUGUAAAUUGUCAUUUUCGUUUGAUAAAUGCAUUUUCCGCAAAUUAGUUUCAAAUGAGAAUGUGUUCUUGACAAUUUCUCUAUUCUUAUCAGCGUUAACAUAUGUUAAGUAUAAGAAGAAUUAAAAAAAAAAGAAUGAAUAAGGAACAAAUAUGUGAAUUAUUUCAGAAAAGGCCUUCAACAAUGAGUAAAACUAAUAAAAUUGUAAAAAUCUUUCAAAAUGUCCAAGAUGAAAAAAAAUUAGAAAAAAAAUCCAACAACUUGUAAAUUACAAAAACAAAAACAAAACAAAAAACAAACAAGAAAGCAAACACUUAAUAAUGGAAAUCAACAUUCAGUUCGAUAACAAGGAUUGGGACAGACAGGUAUGAAUAUAGCGAGGACAAACAAAAGACAGUACUGGUAUUAACACUGAUGCUUAGCUUUCCUAACUUGAGGAAUGAUAAUUAUUUGUUAAUAUCAGACUAUUUUAGUAUUUUUCCGAAUAGUAUGUCUAAAUACAAAUUAAGUUCAAGGUUAUUUUCGGUCUUUAAAGAGGAUUGUACGCAAAGUUCAAGCUGUUUAUUGAAAGGUUUUAUAUAGCAAAAAAGAGAAUCACAUUUUAAUGCCGACCGAAAUGGAACUAAAAAUAUUACUUGAUCGAUUUUUGGUGUUUUAACGCCACUUUUAAGCACCGCAUUUAGACUAUUUCGUGGCGGCCAGUUUUUAUUGGAGGAGGAAGCCGGAGUUCUCGGAGGAAACCACCGACCUUCGAUAUGAAAACUGACAAUCCUAGUCAAUUAAGAUUGGAGUCGAGUGCACCCACACGAACGGGGUUCGAACUCACAACCUCAGUGUUGACUAUCGAGUGAUUACAGUAGUAACUACUUUUCUUGAUAAAUUUUUAUUCAAACAGUACAUUGAAAAUUCACUAGACAGUACCUGGUGUCACACACAGACAUUUACAUAUCAACUAUUUUAGUUAAAAAUUAAUACAAUAUUUCUGCAUGGUUAUCUGUAACUUUGAUAACAGGAUUGUCCGAUAUAAAAUAUUUUUCUAAUAAGAACUGUUCUUUUUUCUGAUUUAAAAGAUAAAAAUAGUGAGAGAUGUAUAAUCCUAUCAAUGUUUUAAAACAGUCUACUAUAUUGAGUUUAACUUGAGGAUUCAACAAUACGAAUUUCAAAAUCAAGCGUAUUUACAAAGGUAUCAUCAACAUUACACAUUUAGUAUUUAGUAAAAAAUCCUUCAGAAAAUCAGUGAAUUGUGACAAAUUGACACAAUUAAUAAACAUAUCACUCAUAUGUUCUAAAUCAACUCUAGAUUGUGCACACACUGGACAAGUGUCAUUAUCAGACAUGUAACAUUUUAAAAGUUUAACUUUAGUAUCUAUUUAGAACACUUGGCCAUCGAGGUCCCCUCCGGAACUAAAAAUAGACUAGAUAGUAAUUUCCGAUAUUUCCAAGUACACCGAAUGCCUAAAAAAAGCCCUUUAUCAUAUGGGUUUCUUAACGUGCAAAAAAGGGGACAAGAAAAAGACAGAUCGGCAUAGAACGUGUUUUACGCAUGAACGAAGUGGUAAAAUUACAUGAAAAUAAAUGCUUAACUUAUGAAUAUUUCAAGGGUUGUAAAGUCCUUUUCCACAUACUGACAUGAAGUAGAUAAGAUCAGUAUCGGGGUCUUCUGCAAAUACCAGAAAUUUGAAGCCUGUGUAUGUUUAUAUAACAGACGUUUUGCACGUAUCUAUAUCCCACAAAAAUAUAUAAUCACUUAAUUUUAUUCCUUUUGUACACGUUUAAUUUAAUUUAACUUUUAACGGACAGAAUAAAGAAGGCGUUUCUCAAACCACACCUCUUUUGGGGAGAUAUAUGAUAUUCUUAGAUAAUUUCAUUUGUUUUGUUGACACACUGGUUCCCAUAUAAUAAAAUAUGUUCUAAUAGAGACAUAACUUGGAACUGUUACCAGUAUAAAAACAUACUAUUACGGUGAAAAAUGAAUUCCGAAGUAGGCAAAAAGUAAAGUUUGGGGUAGUACACAAUUUUAGUAUAAGUUAAAACACUUACAAGUUCAGGGCAUAAAUGUUGAAAAUAUGCCGCACAGCCUCAUGUUUUGAACUUUGAAUAAAAUAGUAGCGCAUAUCAAAUUUCUAUUCUAGGAUAUAUUUUUUCACGAAACUUCAGAGUAAAAUUGUCCCAGUUUUAGCCCCAAAGGGAGUUCCUAUGGAAAUUUCAUGGUCUUUAUUUACAGAAAUGCAACCUAUAGACAUACAUAUUUUCUCCAUUAGUUAUGUAUUUUGGUAUCGGUAUACCAGUUUCCAAUCCAUAGAUCUCAGUUGUCGACUUUUACACGAAAUCAAUGAUUUGACGUCCUUGCUUUGUCCUUUCUGAUGUUUAACGUGUUUGCAUACGACCUUCUGAUGAAAAGGUAUAUAAAUCUAGACAUUGCAUUGAGGUUUUAGCCUGCAGGAAGGGUAGUGUACAAUCUAGUAAACUAAGAAAUUAGAUAAGCCAGUCACUGCACUAUUUUACAUUUAACAAGAUAAAUCACCCUUGGUAAGACAGAAAAAAAUCGUUAUAAUAAGUUGUAACAAGUAUUUACAAUACAAAAUGAAUUGGUUUUCUCUAACAAUCAAUUAUAAUGAUUUAUGACGUUGUUUGUUGAAUUUUGAUUUACAGUCUAAUCAAACCAACUAUUUAAUCAACUAUUUUUAAAGACUGGCCAAACAAUUACACUGUUUGUCCUUCAAACCGGCAUCACACAUCAGCGUAUAGCUCCGACGUAUGCAGGGCGUGUUAAAAAAUUAUGUACGCUGCCAAUACGCUAGUAAUUUUGGAUGCAUUCAACCUGUCAGUCAUAUAUAUAACGUGUGUAUAACGAGCUAUAAGCGGGAAUUGGGCGUACGAGAAGCCUACUUAAGCGUUUAUUGGGCGUUAGUUUAGUUUAAACAUAUUUUAUUUGCAAAAGUAGCAAAAGGGAUUGGACACAAGUUAUAACAACAUUAGAGACGUCCUGUCCCAAGGGUUAGGGUAUUGGGCGUUCAAGAAACGUAUGGUUGCGCAUGCCUGGCGUUUGUCUAAUGUAGAUGGAAUGCACGCUACGAAGAAAAAAAAGUUUCUUGAACGUAUUUGAGACGCGUCCCGGUGUUAUAUAGCCAUUCUUCCCCCAUGCCAGUUUUUCCCCCGGAGGACAAACUGGCAUGAACCAAUUCUUCUCCUGGGGAAAUUUUGGAUCAUUGCCAUUCUUCCCCCGAAGAAAUUUGGCAAUACGUAUACAUAUUGUCACUUUUCCCCCAUGCCAAUCUUUCCCCCAUAGAAUAGAUUUCACUAUACCGGUGUUAUAUAGCCAUUCUUCCCCCAUGCCAGUUUUUCCCCCGGGGGACAAACUGGCAUGAACCAAUUCUUCCCCUGGGGAAAUUUUGGAUCAUUGCCAUUCUUCCCCCGCGGAAAUUUGGCAAUACGUAUACAUAUUGUCACUUUUUCCCCAUGCCAAUCAUUCCCCCAUAGAAUAGAUUUCACUAUACCGGUAGUAUUCAUAUCAGUCUGAAAAUCAAACCCAACAGAGUUGGAAUUAGAUUUUUAUUUCCAAAAGUACAUUUUCAUCGGUCUGUCUAUGUGUCUACUUGUCUGUCUGCAUCAUGGUUUAACAGUCUGAGUUCAUAUUCACCGGUCCGUCUAUGUCUAAUAUUAUGUCUACAGGUCCACCCGUCUGUCUCCGUGUUGACUAAUCUAUCUACAUGUUUACAAGUCAGUUUACGUUUACACCAGUACUAGUGUGUCUUCAUCUCUACUAGUCAGUGCAUGUGUCCACCAGUCUGUCUACAUGUCUACCAGUCGGUCUAUAUCUCAAUCUGUCUGUCUUCAUGUUCAUCAGUCCGUCUAUAUUUUUUUUUUGCCGUCUGUAAUUGCAUUUUUUUGGGUAUUAUUUUGUCUGAUCGUCCGAAUCUUUAAUAUGCUGACAUUUACAUGCAUUCUUUUGACCUGGCAACUUACAACUUAUUUUUGUUAUUUUUAUUUUUUACAAGGUGUAUACUCCAUACUAAUACCAUAAUCCUUUGAACUGCCAGCAAGUUUCCAUACCACAUCUUCUUAUAUCUAUUAUCAUUCUAGGGGGAGGUAGGGUGGGAGUGGGGAGGGGGUAGGAAGGGUCCUGAUUCGGAAAUCCCGGGCUUAAAAACACGAAAUCCCGCGGAAAUAAAUUUAAAUCCUGACACCCCGAAAUUCGAAAAAAGAAUUCCCGGAUCCCGAAAGGGUAAAUCCCGAAAUCCCGAGCUUAAAAACACCCGAAAUAUAUAUCAAAUGAAUAUUGAUACGAUGAAGGUUUGGUAAACUAAUAAAAAAAAGUUACUAUUCUUUUUUUUUGGAUAAAUAUUUAUAAAAUAACAUUAUAUUUCAAGGGGGAAAAUUUAGCUUCUCGUCCUAUAAGGGGGGAAAAUUGUCCUGAUCCUGGUUUUCCCCCAAUCUCACUAAGGGGGAAAAGUUGGAUCAUGCCAAUUUUUCCGGGGGGAAAAAUUGGAUCGAUCCAGUUUUUCCCUCCGGAAAAAAUGGCAUGGGGGAAGAAUGGCUAUAGGACACCGGUCGUAUCUUAGACGUUCUAUUUAUAUGGGGUGUUUGUUACACCCGCAUACGUUUUAGUUAAAGUCGAACGAUCUCGUAGCGUAUGUAUAACGUGCGUGUAGCGUACAGGUAUACGUUAGACACACGCUUGAGCAGGCUGAAAAUGUUUAAGCUGCAUAAAAAAUUUCUCGAAUUGUAGCGUUCACCAAGCGUAUACCUUUGUAUUUCGACGUACUUCAAACUUAUGCAACGCGCGUUUAACGAUUGCUUAGCGUUCCUCAGGUGUGCAACUAACGUAUACUGACUUUGUCAAUUUUCCCUGUACGUUUGGUGCACGCCUGUCUAUACGCCAAUGUGUGACGCCGAUAUGAGGUUGACUGUAAUAUGACCGUAGGUAUUGAUUUACCCUUUUUUGUUUUUAUGGUUCUACAUUGAGCAUCGUUUAUGUAUUCGGUCGACUACUGAAAACUACUAUCUAUUUUUUUUUAUGAAAAUUACCCGAAUCUCUGAUAUCAACAUAGCAAAAUAUUGCUUGCCAACAUUGCAUACUAAAUACUGAGCUGUAAUAUAAUGUAAUUAUUACAUAAUAUGCUUAACCCUUCAUCGAUGAUUUAUCUGUAAUCAAGUACACUAAGUUGAUCGAUCAUCUUAAUGCAAAGAAUUCAAAUCGAACGUACUUUUGUUUAAGGAAAUUUUACACAGCACUGAUUUACAAGCAGAUCAUAUCUCCAAUAUAACAAUACACAAGUUGAUUUGAAUAAUUAAAAAUUAAAAAGCAUAUGUUAAGGAAGUUUCUUAAAAGUAUGCAAAUUUGUUACAAAUGUAAAAUUUUAAAAUAAUAUAUCAUAGAAUACAUGAUAGUGACAACUGAUAACUUUCAUGCAUAUUAUACUAUAUAUACAGGACAUACCAGAUAAUAAUUCGAAUCAAACAUUGAAGCACGAAUAAGUAACAUUUAUGAUAUAUUGUAGGUUAGGAUGAGUGACUAAAUUAUAUACUGAUGGGACUAAAACAAAGCAGCAAUAGAACGAACUUCUAGUCAUUGUACUGUUACCAAGUAGCAAUUAAAUGAUCUACAGUGAUGUGGCCAAACAAAGUAUAAUUUAUAGUGACUGUGAACAUGAUUUCUGUGAACAUAAGCGAUGCCCGAACACUGGAAUACAAAAACAACUUAACUUGUGAAAUAUCCGUCGAUAGUGUUUACUUAUUUAUUAUCAUAGGAAUUGAAUCCUUUCUGUUGCUUUUAUCGUUAUCUUUUUCAAUCGGAAUAUGCUGCAAACAAUGCAACAGAAAAAAGACUUCAUCGUUUGAUCCGCCAUUACCGAACCGAAUUAGCCAAUAUUCUUCCGCAGACACGUUGCCAAGACUUGUAGUGUAUGAAAGUCUUGGAGGACAAGAACAACAUGUAGAACAGGACAAUGUUUACGAAACAUUUAACUGUGAUCCUGUUUAUGCCAAUGAACAGAAGUUUAGGAAAAAUAUAGUUUUUUCUAUUUAUGCAAAUCAAGUGACAUUGACAGACAUGCUACAAGGAGACGAAGAUGCUUAACUUUUAUUACAGACAUGCUACAAGGAGACGAAGAUGCUUAACUUUUAUUACAGACAUGCUACAAGGAGACGAAGAUGCUUAACUUUUAUUACAGACAUGCUACAAGGAGACGAAGAUGCUUAACUUUUAUUACAGAUACAUGUAUAUCAUGACAGACAUGCUACAAGGAGACGAAGAUGCUUAACUUUUAUUACAGAUACAUGUAUAUCAGUUUACUAUACACCAUUUUCAUAUUACCGUCUUUUGACUCCGGAAAUUAUAUUUUGUUGACAGGGUACCUUUAAAAAUUUAUACAUACAAACCAUUGAAAUUUCACCCUACCACACCUUCAAUAUAGUUGGAAAUCCUGGUACUCGGUCAAACAAGAGCAACAGAAAUAAGUUAAUUCAAGAUUUUAAUCGGUACAAUUUGAGAGAAAUUUAACAGUUUAAUGCUUUCUUUAAAUGACUUAAUUAUCAGAAAACAUUAAACUUUCCCACCAAAUUGCACCGUAUAUGUAUUUGAUUUUACUUCUUUGGUUGCUCGUGAUUGGCUCAUGAUUACCAGGAUGUCUUAUCACAGAGUAAAUAAAAAAUUAUAGAACCCGGAGUAAAAAGUCGAUAAUAUGAAAAUAGACUAUUGAACGUAAUAAUUACACAAUGUUGUUUUAUAAUCAAUGUUACUUUGUAACAUUGUGUUAGAAGUUAUUAAUUAUUAACCAAUACGACUUUGUAGAUUUAAAUAGAAGUUAUUAUCACACAAUGAUGUAUUAUUAACCAAUACGACUUUGUAGAUUUUAAAUAGAA
Molecule: long non-coding RNA, 9504 nt
Filed under: Mytilus galloprovincialis (Mediterranean mussel)
Lineage: Eukaryota; Metazoa; Mollusca; Bivalvia; Mytilida; Mytilidae
Source: RNAcentral